UUGGCUUAAACUCAAUGAGUAAGGAAACUAGCGCCCGACCUGACAAGUCGGGCUCGCAUUGUGGGUCCAGCGACCCACGAUCCCAUUUUUGACGGAGGUGGAAUGGCCGCCGCGUGACUGUCGCCCUACUUUGGCGGACGGCACGCGCGGUCGGUCCCCGCC
Molecule: small nuclear RNA, 162 nt
Filed under: Pythium arrhenomanes ATCC 12531
Lineage: Eukaryota; Oomycota; Peronosporomycetes; Pythiales; Pythiaceae
Description: snRNA EPrPArr00000013103
Rfam family: U12 minor spliceosomal RNA
About the family: Although the U12 sequence is very divergent from that of U2, the two are functionally analogous.
Source: RNAcentral